GGUCAUAGCUCAGGGUUAGAGCACUUCCUUUGCAUGCAGAAGGUUCCAGGUUCAAUCCCUGGCAUCUCCA
Molecule: non-coding RNA, 70 nt
Organism: Podarcis lilfordi (Lilford's wall lizard)
Lineage: Eukaryota; Metazoa; Chordata; Lepidosauria; Squamata; Lacertidae
Source: the annotation of a GenBank genome assembly